Molecule: transfer RNA, 87 nt
Filed under: Calditrichota bacterium
Lineage: Bacteria; Pseudomonadati; Calditrichota
Description: Calditrichaeota bacterium tRNA-Leu
Rfam family: tRNA
About the family: Transfer RNA (tRNA) molecules are approximately 80 nucleotides in length. Their secondary structure includes four short double-helical elements and three loops (D, anti-codon, and T loops).
Source: RNAcentral
GCGGGAGUGGUGGAAUUGGUAGACACGUCAGACUUAGGAUCUGGUGCAAUUACAACUUGCGUGGGAGUUCAAGUCUCCCCUUUCGCA